GAGAUUUAUGGUGGAAAAAAAAAAGCAAAUAGCAAGCAGCUCUUGAUCAAGUGGUGAGAAAGCAUCUGCAGCGAGCUGUCAUUGCUUUGCCUCUUGAGUAUGGCUGAUUGCAUGGGGUCGUACCCACCUGGGGCAAGGAGCUGCCCUAAGCAUCCAUCAGCUAGAUGCGCUGCUCUUAAUUAACCCUGAUUAAUUACCAGGUGAGAACACGUCCUCCCCUGUGCACUGAGAGCAGCACAACCAACCUGCAGUUAAACAUUGACAAGUUGCCUCCACGGUGGAUUUCCAGGAAUCUGUUGAGCUAAGUAAUUGGAUCAUCAGCUCUUUGAAAGUAGAAGUGGCACAAGUGCUUUGCUUUCAUCUCUCUCACAGUUCCAAUAGGUUUGUGUGAUGAAGACCCAACCAGUGCCCAACCUGACAUUAUUCAACCCACUUUCAGCAGUGGCACCUCUAUUUUUUCACUUGUAAUUUGCUCCACGUUCUGUCCAAGUCUGGAAUUUAAAUACAGUGAGAUCACAUCCGUGAAUUUUUCUGCUAUUUGUGAAGGUGCGUGAUAAGUACUGAUGGGGGAUUGGGAUGUAAGCACUGGCUGGGGAAAGGUGCAGGGUUU
RNAcentral lists this long non-coding RNA (610 nucleotides) under Phasianus colchicus (ring-necked pheasant). RNAcentral describes it as "lncRNA (ENSPCLG00000021638.1)". Lineage: Eukaryota; Metazoa; Chordata; Aves; Galliformes; Phasianidae. The record is from RNAcentral.